RNAcentral lists this ribosomal RNA (508 nucleotides) under uncultured bacterium. Its description in RNAcentral is "partial 16S ribosomal RNA". It matches the Rfam family "Bacterial small subunit ribosomal RNA", at positions 28 to 507 of the family's 1533-position model. The record is from RNAcentral.
GACGAACGCUGGCGGCGUGCCUAAUACAUGCAAGUCGAACGCUUCUUUCCUCCCGAGUGCUUGCACUCAAUUGGAAAGAGGAGGGGCGGACGGGUGAGUAACACGUGGGUAACCUACCCAUCAGAGGGGGAUAACACUUGGAAACAGGUGCUAAUACCGCAUAACAGUUUAUGCCGCAUGGCAUAAGAGUGAAAGGCGCUUUCGGGUGUCGCUGAGGGAUGGACCCGCGGGGCAUUAGCUAGUUGGUGAGGUAACGGCUCACCAAGGCCACGAUGCAUAGCCGACCUGAGAGGGUGAUCGGCCACACUGGGACUGAGACACGGCCCAGACUCCUACGGGAGGCAGCAGUAGGGAAUCUUCGGCAAUGGACGAAAGUCUGACCGAGCAACGCCGCGUGAGUGAAGAAGGUUUUCGGAUCGUAAAACUCUGUUGUUAGGGAAGAACAAGGACGUUAGUAACUGAACGUCCCCUGACGGUAUCUAACCAGAAAGCCACGGCUAACUACGUG